This 536-nucleotide long non-coding RNA is filed under the name Nicotiana benthamiana. RNAcentral's name for it is "long non-coding RNA (NBEN_LNC025382)". Lineage: Eukaryota; Viridiplantae; Streptophyta; Magnoliopsida; Solanales; Solanaceae. The record is from RNAcentral.
AUUCAAAUGCGGAAGAGAAAUUCCCAGGCAUGUUGUGCAUAGUAGUUUCAUUAGUUGUACUUCCUGGAACUCUAGAUGUGCUAUGCUUCAACUCUUGUGGUCUGAGGUCUAACGGGGCAGGCAAAGAUUGAGCCUGAUGAGGAGGGGGCAUCUGCCCCCGACUUUUUUCUCUAAUCUCAACGGCAGCAUGGCUUGAAUGUGAAGAGCUAACAGCUCUGGUAGGACCCUGAGAUGACAAGAGAUGGGUUUUGACAGAGAUCUGCGACGGAGCAGGCAAAGAUUGAGCCUGAUGCGGACGGGGCAUCUGCCCCUGACUUUUUUCUCUAAUCUCAACGGCAGCAUGGCUUGAAUGUGAAGAGGCAAGACCUCUGGCAGGACCCUGAGAUGACAAGAGAUGGGUUUUGACAGAGAUCUGCUGCGAUGGAGGACCAAGUUGAAGACCAAAACCUUGAGAGGCAGAAGACUGAUUUCGCCGGAGGUGUCCAGCAGACCCAUCAGCAUUUUCGGAGUCAGGCACCUCAGAUGAUGCUUUCUGG